AAGCGCUGGUGGCCUAGCGGUUAGAGCGUGCGACUUGCAAUCCGGAGGUCGCGGGUUCGAACCCCGGCUCGUACCAAUGAUUUGUUACAAAAUAUAAUUUGAUAUUCACUAGUCGCUUUUCGGUGAAGGAAAACAUCGUGAGGAAACCGGACUAAUCCCAACAAGGCCUAGUUUACCCUCUGGGUUGGAAGGGCAGAUGGCAGUCGCUUUCGUAAAAACUAGUGCCUACGCCAAUUCCUGGGAUUAGUUGCCACGCGGACCCCAGGCUCCCAUGAGCCGUGGCAAAAUGCCGGGACAACGCGAGGAAGA
Molecule: long non-coding RNA, 309 nt
Organism: Cydia amplana
Lineage: Eukaryota; Metazoa; Arthropoda; Insecta; Lepidoptera; Tortricidae
Exons: 2
Source: RefSeq, a predicted model, not a curated record